AUAGUCCACGAUGUCGUCGGUCCCUUCGGGACCAAGAGGGAAUACGGUGGGGAGGGAAGAAAAUGUCCGUCCGAAACCGUGGCUGCCCCCGCAACUGUGAGCGGUAGUCCUCUCCAAUGCCACUGAGGUUCGCCUCGGGAAGGUGGAGAAGGGCGCAGAUCCGCAAGCCAGGAGACCUGCCGGCGACAGCAAUGAUGG
RNAcentral lists this non-coding RNA (198 nucleotides) under Mesorhizobium hungaricum. Lineage: Bacteria; Pseudomonadati; Pseudomonadota; Alphaproteobacteria; Hyphomicrobiales; Phyllobacteriaceae. RNAcentral also lists the same sequence under 1 other name. The record is from RNAcentral.